UUGCAGUCAGUGCAGAAGGCUGUAUAACAGUCACUAAACAUAGUAAACAUGCUCGACAACAACAAUAACAAUAUCGAGAAGAAGAACAGCAAAGUUUAUUGGAAGUUGCUGCUAGAAAACAGAGAUUCGUAGAACGCAGAAUGAUAGGUGUUGGCAAGAUCAUGCUCGAAGAUGAAUCCACCAUCUGUGAAGACAUGCUUAAUGCUUUGGAUGUUAGUGGUCUCCAAGCAAAGCCAGCUGCUUUAAAUGAUUACAAUUUCAAGGCACCUAACUGAAGUCCAUUGGCAAUAGACAAUCAAAGAACAGCCAUUCUUGAACUUCUCAAAAAAGAAAAUGUCAUCAUUGUUAAGGGCUUUAACGGUUGUGGUAAAACCACUCAAGUUCCCCAAUUUGUUUUAGAUGAAUGCUACCGAACCAAAACUCCUUGCAACAUUGUUGUGACUCAACCAAGGCGCAUUGCAGCCAUUAGCAUAGCCAAAAGGGUCUGCUAUGAAAGAAAUUGGACAUUGGGAACCGUUGUUGGAUACAGAGUUGGCAUGGAACAUCAAGUAAGUGAAUCAAUUUUGCUCACCUAUCUGACCACAGGAUGCCUUCUUGAAGCAUUAGUAGCCAAAAAAUCCCUUGAAGGCUAUACCCACAUCAUUAUUGACGAAGUACACGAGAGGGAUGAAGAUACUGACUUCCUUCUCUUGGUCGUCCGCAAGUUCCUCCGUCAUACGAGGACGACAACUAAAGUCUUUCUGAUGUCAGUUACUUUUGAUGCCGACAAAUUUGGCCAAUAUUUCAAUAGCCCCGUCAUUGGAAACUUUCCGUUCACGUCCAAAAGACCAUUUCGCAACGGUCCCAUAAUUGAAGUGGAGCACGGUGAACCUCACGACAUACGCGUUUACUAUAGUGAACAUCUUCAAAAACUAGAGGUAUGAAUCACUCAAUCAAACUCAGUGGCAGUUUCAUCCAAAUGGCGUUAUUUCAAACAACCUCUGUGGCGUACCAGAAACUGAAAAGUCGAUGAAUUUCGUCUCUAGUGAAAAUAGUCGAUUUGCGGGAAUCACAAGCAGGCACAUUACUGUGAAAGAUAACUAUGCUGCUUAUUUUAAGAUCAGAACAUCGUGUGGAAUAACGCCGUGUCAUGCGAACAAUAACAGAAGCCAAGUAAGAUUUCAAAUGAGGCAAGGAUAUGAACAGCCUUCAUGGUCCUUGUCAAAACCCAACUGUUUGCCAAGUUCAACGGAUUCGUUGUGCGAUCCUCAGAUGUAUCAUAGUUCUUCUGCAUUAGCAUUUGGCAACUUCCCGACUUGGCAGCGGGUCAUCAUCUCACUCAAAUCGAUAACAUUCGCCAAGCGAUAAAACGGCUCCCGUGGGUACACUUGAAGGAUGGGCAAAAUUGGAGGUAGGGAAGCCAAAAUUGCUUCAAAAAAAAAGCCCCAACCUUUCGGCUUUCUUAAUAGAGAAGGCUAUGGUUACAGGAGCUGGUCGUGACUUAAAAGAGCCAAGGUUUUGUCCGCAAGUGCUUCAAAUAUACCGUAGAGGCGCCUGGUGGUGGUUUGGAGCAAUAUAACAAAAUAAUUUCGCGCAAGUUUGUUUAAACAUUUGUAUUGAUGCUUACUUUUGACAAUACAUUUUUUUCCAUGAACAAAAGUUCUUGAAAGCUUUUUACUAGUUUUCAUAUGUCUUCUUUCUUUGGCUAGGUAAAAAUUACGAAAGGGUUUUGAUUUCGUAUGAAAUCUUAUGUGGAUAUAUUGCAGUAUUAUAUAUGGUAAUGACUCAUCAUACUUCAUGGAAUGUGAUCUUCCAGAUUUAGCUUGCAAUUCAGCUUUCCCCUUCAUAAUAAAGUUUAUUGGUCCAAUA
This 1848-nucleotide long non-coding RNA is filed under the name Daphnia magna. RNAcentral's name for it is "uncharacterized LOC116936110, transcript variant X1". Lineage: Eukaryota; Metazoa; Arthropoda; Branchiopoda; Diplostraca; Daphniidae. The record is from RNAcentral.